Molecule: ribosomal RNA, 585 nt
Filed under: uncultured actinomycete
Lineage: Bacteria; Bacillati; Actinomycetota; Actinomycetes; Actinomycetales
Description: bacterial SSU rRNA
Rfam family: Bacterial small subunit ribosomal RNA
Source: RNAcentral
CGAUCGGCCACACUGGGACUGAGACACGGCCCAGACUCCUACGGGAGGCAGCAGUGGGGAAUAUUGCACAAUGGGCGCAAGCCUGAUGCAGCGACGCCGCGUGGGGGAUGAAGGCCUUCGGGUUGUAAACCCCUUUCACCAGGAGCGAAUCAAGACGGUACCUGGGGAAGAAGAGCCGGCUAACUACGUGCCAGCAGCCGCGGUAAUACGUAGGGCGCAAGCGUUGUCCGGAAUUAUUGGGCGUAAAGAGCUCGUAGGCGGCCUGUUGCGUCCGCUGUGAAAUCCCGGGGCUUANYNCCGGYCCUGCAGUGGAUACGGGCAGGYUAGAGGCAGGCAGGGGAGAACGGAAUUCCUGGUGUAGCGGUGAAAUGCGCAGAUAUCAGGAGGAACACCGGUGGCGAAGGCGGUUCUCUGGGCCUGUACUGACGCUGAGGAGCGAAAGCGUGGGGAGCGAACAGGAUUAGAUACCCUGGUAGUCCACGCCGUAAACGUUGGGCGCUAGGUGUGGGGUCCUUCCACAGGCUCUGUGCCGCAGCUAACGCAUUAAGCGCCCCGCCUGGGGAGUACGGCCGCAAGGCUAAAACU